RNAcentral lists this ribosomal RNA (406 nucleotides) under uncultured Gammaproteobacteria bacterium. RNAcentral describes it as "bacterial SSU rRNA". It matches the Rfam family "Bacterial small subunit ribosomal RNA", at positions 509 to 914 of the family's 1533-position model. The record is from RNAcentral. Lineage: Bacteria; Pseudomonadati; Pseudomonadota; Gammaproteobacteria.
CAGCAGCCGCGGUAAUACAGAGGGUGCAAGCGUUAAUCGGAUUUACUGGGCGUAAAGCGUGCGUAGGCGGUUUGUUAAGUCGGUUGUGAAAGCCCUGGGCUUAACCUGGGAAUUGCAGUCGAUACUGGCAGGCUAGAGAACGGUAGAGGGAGGCGGAACUCCAGGUGUAGCGGUGAAAUGCGUAGAUAUCUGGAAGAACACCGAUGGCGAAGGCAACCUCCUGGGCCUGUUCUGACGCUGAGGCACGAAAGCGUGGGUAGCAAACAGGAUUAGAUACCCUGGUAGUCCACGCUGUAAACGAUGAGAACUUGACGUCGGGUCGCUUAGCGAUUCGGUGUCGAAGCUAACGCGCUAAGUUCUCCGCCUGGGGAGUACGGCCGCAAGGUUGAAACUCAAAGGAAUUGAC